UACGUAGGGUGCAAGCGUUGUCCGGAAUUAUUGGGCGUAAAGAGCUCGUAGGCGGUCUGUCGCGUCGGCUGUGAAAAACUCGGGGCUCAACUCCGAGCUUGCAGUCGAUACGGGCAGGCUAGAGUUCGGCAGGGGAGACUGGAACUCCUGGUGUAGCGGUGAAAUGCGCGAUAUAGGAGGAACACCGGUGCGAAGGCGGGUCUCUGGGCCGAUACUGACGCUGAGGAGCGAAAGCGUGGGGAGCGAACAGG
RNAcentral lists this ribosomal RNA (251 nucleotides) under uncultured bacterium. RNAcentral's name for it is "partial 16S ribosomal RNA". It matches the Rfam family "Bacterial small subunit ribosomal RNA", at positions 524 to 776 of the family's 1533-position model. The record is from RNAcentral.